GACGAACGCUGGCGGCGUGCCUAAUACAUGCAAGUCGAACGGUCUUUUCUAUGGAAGCUUGCUUCCACUGAGAAGAUAGUGGCGAACGGGUGAGUAACACGUGGGUAACCUGCCCAUAAGAGGGGGAUAACAUCCGGAAACGGGUGCUAAUACCGCAUAGUUUUCUUGAUCGCAUGAUUGAGAAAGGAAAGACGGCCUUUGUGCUGUCACUUAUGGAUGGACCCGCGGCGUAUUAGUUAGUUGGUGAGGUAACGGCUCACCAAGACGAUGAUACGUAGCCGACCUGAGAGGGUGAUCGGCCACAUUGGGACUGAGACACGGCCCAAACUCCUACGGGAGGCAGCAGUAGGGAAUCUUCCGCAAUGGACGAAAGUCUGACGGAGCAACGCCGCGUGAGUGAAGAAGGUUUUCGGAUCGUAAAACUCUGUUGUCAGAGAAGAACAAGUUGGAGAGUAACUGCUCCAGCCUUGACGGUAUCUGACCAGAAAGCCACGGCUAACUACGUG
This 506-nucleotide ribosomal RNA is filed under the name uncultured bacterium. RNAcentral describes it as "bacterial SSU rRNA". It matches the Rfam family "Bacterial small subunit ribosomal RNA", at positions 28 to 507 of the family's 1533-position model. The record is from RNAcentral.